UCCGCUAUUUAAGUAAUACGUUUUCCUAACCAAUCGAGGAGAGGCUUCGUACGUUAAGUAAGUAGGUAGGAUAACACUCUACGAAAUUGUAACGAUUCUCCCUAUUAUUUUUUCGAUCCUCUCUUCCAUUAAGAAAAGAAAGAAGAAAAGAAAAAAGGAAAAGCACGAACUAGGCAGACAUGUAAUUAAACUUUACUGGUUAGCUUCCACUAGGAUUCGCGGAAGUUACACAAAAGUACGUUCUCCUCCCGAAGAUGAGAAGGAGCAGAGAGCAUCGUGGCAUUCUCAGGACCGACGAGCCGUCGAUCGAUUCGCGAAAUCAAAGAGAAAAAAAAGAGAAGGAUGGAGUAAGGAGUUGGCAAAAGGAAAGAAAAAAUAUCGUACGGCGAGUUUGCGAAAACGCAAACUACCGCGAUGCCGAUGUCCCUACGUACGUAGCGUUGUACGUAGCGUGGUAUAACGUUGCAAAAGUGUAAAGAGAGAGAAAGAUAGAAGAAGAAGUCGUAGUAAGAAGCUUCGAAAGGAUAGACGAGGGAGAAAGAGGAUGGAGACUGGGAGAGUUUUGGUCCAUCGAAAGGUCGAGACUCCAGCCGUUGAAACGCGCCCGCGGCAAGGAAAUGCGCUUAGUGGAUUUGACGCACUUACUCGCGAACGCCCGAUCCUCUCCGCGAGUUUACUUUUGUAUACCAUCGCGACUAGGCGCAUAGUAACGACGCCUUUCCGUAGUCGUUGAAAGCGUACAAAAGGUAAAGUCCUUCUUCGCGAAUGCCUGGCAAACUUUCAAAGUGGAAUAAUAGAUGGUCUCGUUCGUGUACGAAAAGACGAAAGGAGAGGUCCAACUGUGACAAAGCGAUAUAUUUAUCCGCAUAAAAGGUCGAUCUUACUUCUUUCUUUUGUUCUUUCCUAUUUUCUUUUCUUCUCUUUUCUUUUCUUUUCAGUUCCUUACUAUUUCGCGCGCUUUUUCGAUACUUUGCGAACGAAUUUUUUACGCUACUCAAGAAUAUAUUUAAAACUUUUCGAAAAGACGAUUACGUUCUACGCCGAUAGAUAAAUUUAUUUAUAAAUAUACUAUCGAUAUAUAACUGUAUAAAAGUAUCGAAAAUAUAUUUCAGAGCUUCAGUCGAAGGGAAAUGAUCUUUAACCGGAGAGUACAAUUUUCUUUUUGUUUCUUUUUUUUUCUCUCUUUUCCUUUUCCUUUUCCUUCUCCUUUUUUUUUUUUUUUUUUAAAGGUUGUAACCUUUCGAAGCUAGCAAAUACGAGUUCCUCCAUCCCGUAUGCCAGGGGGAGAUUCGAGAGACGAAGUUUCUUAACUCGCGACCUCCCGGUAACUACGAGUUGCGAACUAAAAACUUGUUCCGCGGAAUUACCUCGUAAGUCGCAACUACGUGAAGUCGAAAGAGAGAGAGAGAGAGAGAGAGAGAGAGAGAGAGAGAGAAAGAGAGAGAGAGAGAAGGUCUGAAGAAAUUUUCACGUCUGGUGCAUCGCCGCGCUCGAAGCAUUAUCAAGUCGUUACACUCUACGUACGAACUCUCUCCAUCUCUCUGUCUCUCAUUCUUGAUCGUCAAGUUCGAUGUCUUCUUCGAAUUAUCCUCUACUAGCUACGAUGACGUAGGCGCGCACAGCACGACCGAAUUCGUAACUAUCUCGAUCGGGGAGAAAAAAGAGAAGAAAAGAAAAGAAAAGAAAAGAAAGAAGAAGAAAAACAUAAAAGAACAACUUUGCAAACGAUAAACUAUUCUCGAAAGUUACGAUCGAUUUACCUCUCCUCUCCGGAAGUUAAAUUGCCUGGAAGUGACGACUUAAUCGUUUUCUCUCGCGACACGAGACGAAAUUCAGGAAAAUUCUUGGAGACGUUUUCCCCUUUGAACGAGAUUACAACUGCAGAUCAUACUGCGUACUACAUAAAUACUACAUAUAUGUAUGUAUAUAUAAAAGUGGAUAGAUUUAUCAUCGUAACAAUUUAGUUGGUACUUCUGUCGCGAGUCUCCAACGUUUCGUUUUAAACAAGAUAUAUACCAACCAAGGUUCAAUCGACCAACUGUGCGAGAGCUUGCGAUCGAGAAAAUUGCAGUAAAUGGGAGGUCAUAGCGUAAAGUCGUUUCCACUUUUCAGAAUUUUCCGGCAUUUCUUCGAAGAAAUACAGAAACACGUGAUGUUGCUCGUUCAUCUAUAGCUAUAUAUAGAUAUACAUACACAUAUAUAUGUAUAAGUCUACGAGUAUACAUAUACACGAUCACGUACACGAUUGUACGCUUGUAUGCGCGUAGCGAAGCGUUUAAUCAAGUUUACUACGAACGAAGUACAAUGUUAGUAUCUUCCUUUUCUCGAGCUAUACGUUUCGCGGCCUCUGCAUCGCUUUGUGCUUUUCCUCUUUCUCCGUUUCCACUCGACUGACUUCACCCUCUCUUUUCUUCUUCGCAAAGUAAUUCUCUCUGUCUCUCUCUCUCUCUCUCUCUCUCUCUCUCUCUCUCUCUCUCGAAACUCUCCCGCGAGCGAGCAUGUGCGCAAUAUCGCUGAUAAAAAGAUUCAUCGUACCACGAAAAGCAAAUCGAAUGCGCAAGAAGUCGCACAGAAAUGACGAAUCUGCUGGUGACUUUUCCGGAUGCAACGUUUGGUUCUCGUCUUGAUUGCUUACGCGCUCGAUCGCGUUGCUCCGAUUUUUUUAUUCCGCGCGGCGAGUAAAAAAAGUUUUACUAUUUUCGACACGCACGUAAAUAUUUUCAUAUGUUUUUAUUUCGAGAGAACUUU
Molecule: long non-coding RNA, 2748 nt
Organism: Vespula pensylvanica (western yellowjacket)
Lineage: Eukaryota; Metazoa; Arthropoda; Insecta; Hymenoptera; Vespidae
Exons: 3
Source: RefSeq, a predicted model, not a curated record